This 292-nucleotide ribosomal RNA is filed under the name uncultured bacterium. RNAcentral's name for it is "partial 16S ribosomal RNA". It matches the Rfam family "Bacterial small subunit ribosomal RNA", at positions 505 to 796 of the family's 1533-position model. The record is from RNAcentral.
GUGCCAGCCGCCGCGGUAAUACGAAGGGUGCAAGCGUUGUUCGGAUUUAUUGGGCGUAAAGCGCGCGUAGGCGGACCUGCAAGUCAGAUGUGAAAUCUCGGGGCUCAACCUCGAAACUGCGUCUGAAACUACAGGUCUAGAAUCUUGGAGGGGGAAGGGGAAUUUCGCAUGUAGGGGUAAAAUCCGUAGAUAUGCGAAGGAACACCAGAGGCGAAGGCGCCUUCCUGGACAAGUAUUGACGCUGAGGCGCGAAAGCGUGGGGAUCAAACAGGAUUAGAAACCCGCGUAGUCC